GCACUGCUGAAGAGUCCCACGAUAGGACGAAACGGCCGUCCAGUGC
Non-coding RNA from Schistosoma rodhaini, 46 nucleotides. NCBI's taxonomy places the organism in Eukaryota, Metazoa, Platyhelminthes, Trematoda, Strigeidida, Schistosomatidae. The record is from Rfam.